UAGGGAAUCUUCCACAAUGGACGCAAGUCUGAUGGAGCAACGCCGCGUGAGUGAAGAAGGGUUUCGGCUCGUAAAGCUCUGUUGUUAAAGAAGAACGUGGGUAAGAGUAACUGUUUACCCAGUGACGGUAUUUAACCAGAAUCACGGCUAACUACGUGUCAG
RNAcentral lists this ribosomal RNA (162 nucleotides) under uncultured bacterium. RNAcentral describes it as "partial 16S ribosomal RNA". It matches the Rfam family "Bacterial small subunit ribosomal RNA", at positions 355 to 511 of the family's 1533-position model. The record is from RNAcentral.